This 4925-nucleotide long non-coding RNA is filed under the name Canis lupus familiaris (dog). RNAcentral's name for it is "lncRNA (ENSCAFG00000057350.1)". Lineage: Eukaryota; Metazoa; Chordata; Mammalia; Carnivora; Canidae. The record is from RNAcentral.
GGCGGCGCUAAACCUCUGAGCCACCCGGGAACCCCCGGCCCUAGACCUUUUAGCUAUUUGAGUUCGGCGCAAUUUUCAGAGUUUUAUUUUUUGCUCUUUUCUUUCCCACCAAGCUGUCAGCUGUUGUUUGUUUCACAUCUAAGGUACUAGUUGGUGUUACUUUCUUUGUUUUUUAGUAUUGAGUUGCCCUUUUUUUUUUUUUUUUUUUGCAGAGCUAAAUUUAAUAAAAUAAAAUUAACCAUCUUUCAGGUGAAGUAUUCUGUGGCAUUGAAUGUGAUCACUGUAUAACUGCCACCUCUAUCCGGUUCCAAAAUGUUUUCAUCACCCCAGGGGGAAACCUCAAACCCAUUAAGCAAUCAGGGGGCUGGGGUCUCUUCAACGACCCCUAUGCCCUCUUAGUUUCUCCUCUGGGGGGCUGCGACCUUGGGCCCUACAACACCCGCUCCACUGAAGUAGGGCUGGCUAGGUUCUGCGUGCAGGGCCCAGGGUCCCCACUGGUGACAGUCAAGGCCAUGAGGUUAAUCUCACUACCACGUGACAAUGAUUGCUAGCUCCUCAGGGAGCUUCCCACCCCGACACCUCACACUUCUAGAUCAUCGAGGUUCCUUAAUACAUGUGACUUUCAGACGACACGUCAGAGCCCUGCCCAUGACCAUGCGUUCCUCCCACUGCUCACGACAGGCUUCCAGGUGGGAACCUGGGGCUGCGAGGGGCCUCGGCCCCCAACCUGGUCCACAGGUUCCAGACUCCCCCAGCCACAGACUUCUUAGCUACGGACCCUGCCCCGGACAUGCUGCAUCCGUGUCCCCAGGGUAGCACCUGCAAGCCUGUCUUUCUAAAACGUCCAACCAUGCGAUUCUGAGAUGACUAAUACGUGUUUGGAAAUCCUCAGUCCCACAGCUCUUCCUGGCACAGCUUCAUGUUUAAGGACGGAGCGCCGCUGUCCCACGGCGGGAGGCUGACCUGGGGCGUCCACCCCCAGCAUCUGCUAACCUGGGGCGCCCACACCCGGGCAGCUGCUCACCUGUGAAGGCGCCAGCCAUUGCAGCACCUGGAAGGCCAAGCGUGCAAAGCCGGGUGGGCUGUAAGGAGGAGGAGCGGGCACAGGUUGGAGCCCCCAGGGUCUCAUUUCCGUUGCCCUGUCCUCACCUAGGCAUGUGAGGGCGGGGCCGGACCCUACCUGCUUUGCUGGCAGAGUGGAUCCUCCCGUGACGGUGCUGCCGUCGAAGACCCACAUUUCCUGCAGCAGCUCUCUGCACCCUGGCGGCUCCCAGGCUGCCUGGAGCUGCGUGCUCGCCUGGCCAGGCCAGGCGGUCCGGCCGGUCACCCAGCAGCUGGGGGGCUGCGGGCAGCUGAGGUGACCCCCCAGGGCCUCACGUUCUUUGGUCAGAGCAGGCGCACACAGCAGCUGGGUGCAGGGCAGUGUCGGGUCAGGCAACUAUUGCCUUUGUGGUUUCUUGGCUCCCGGCCUGCGAGGAGGCCUGCACACACAGGUCUGGCCUGGCCAGCCUUCUUCGGCCCUGCGUGGACGCCCUUGGGUGGGCCUGUCCCCAGCUCCCACUGGGAGGGGCAACAGCCGUCCAGGAAUCCCGUGGUUCCGACGCCCCGGAGACCAGAGGGCAUCGUGGGGCGCGGGCCUGUGGCUCCCUCAGCGCUCACUCCUGUCUCUCCAGGCGAUCACCCCAUGUUUGCGCAGGUCUCCCCACCGGGCCACCUGCCCGCACAGGCUGACUCCGCUGGGCUGGACGGGGCGGGAGGCUUAGCCCUGGACUACUCUGCAGGGAGACAUUCCUGAAUGUGUUAUCAUUCGUGGGUAAGCUUGUGGCUUGGGCGAAGCGGACUCAAGCAGAGAAAAGAGGAAGAAACGUCUGUCACUCUUCAGAUAAAACUUCCGGUAGCAAGGCUUCCCCGUCCCGGACACUGGUGUGCCGGCCUCGUGCUCCGGCGGCUGCCGUCGAGCCCCCGAGAAGGGCAGUCGGCCCGAGCGCACCCCAGGGAAGGCAGAAAGGACAGGCCAGAGGAGACGAGGUCCUCGGUGGCGUUUGUCACCCACGGAAUCACACACCAGGAAGCUGAACUCCGGGACCUGCCACUGAUAUGAACCAGUAAAUCCUCUUUAUUCAUUAAGCCAGUCAGAGCUGAGAUUUCUAUUCCUUACACCAAACCCUCGGGAAUUAUUCAUCUGCAAGGUGCAUUCCAGUUUCAGAUUGUCAAAGAUCUCGGGUUUGUCUGUGAAUCCCAGUCAUCUCCUUUUUGUUUGUUUGUUAAGAUUUUAUUUAUUUAUUCCUGAGAGACACACACAGAGAGAGAAGUAUGAUGUCAAACUUUUGGAUUUUUGCCAAUCUGAUAGGUUGGAAAUAAAAUAUUUAUAUUAAAUUGCAUUUAAGUGUUGAUUGGGAAUUUUUUCCUAGAGUCUGUAAUCAAUUUAUUCGUAGCCUUUGGUCAUUUAUCUAUCAGGUCGUCUUUUUCUGCUUGAUUUCAGGAGCUCUUUGUAAAAUGGGCGAGCAUGGCAGGACCAAACAAAGUCUCUGCCUUCACAAGGCCAACGACUUCCCAUGAAUGAUCUCUUUCUAUGACUGGUGCUGCUAGAAAGAAUUCUCUUCCUUCAAUACAGAGACUGAGGCCAUGGACAGCAAUGAUUGAUUAUCUUGUCAUUGUGAGCAAUUUUCCGGUUUGACCUACUCUUCCAGGAAAAUAAUCUCUAUUCCUAACAGAAUAAAUCAAUUUCCAAAAAGAGAGGAAUGUGCACUCUUGCGGUUAUUAAAAAUCAUGUUCUCAGAAAUAUUUAAAGAAAUGGGGAAGUGCUUAUGAUGUAUUGUUACAUAAAAAGGCAAGCCACAAAGCACUGUGCACAGCAUAAAACCAGUCGCAUAGGAUAUAUCUAGCCAUUAGCAUAGGAGAAAAAGUGGAAGAUUACACCCCAAAUGUUAAUAGUGGUUACCUCUGAGCACUGAGAUUAUGGAUGAUUUUAAUUUUCUUCUUCAACCUUGCUCUAUUUCUUAAUAUUUUUUUUUUACAAUGAACAUGUAUUGUUCUGAAAAUUGGCAAUACUGGCAAUAUUAUUUUUCAAAAUAAUAAGAUUGAACAAAAUUUAAGCUAAACUUUCUGUCUUGAGGGAACAGGUGCAAAGUAAGUGAUACUAGGGGAAAGUUUAUCCUUUUCAAUCCUGUGAGCUCACUGAUGCUCAGGAUCUAGAUAUUUUCAGUACUCCAGUCACAUUCAGCAAUAAUAAGUUUAUUUGCUAUUUCCCCCAGAGACUGUAAGGUGGGUUUUCUUUUUACGAUUUUAUUUAUUUACUCAUGAGAGACACAGAGAGAGGCAGAGACACGGGCAGAGGAAGAAGCAGGCUCCAUGCAGGGAGCCCGACGUGGGACUGGAUCCCAGGACCCUGGGGUCACGCCCUGAGCCAAAGGCAGACCCUCAACCCCUGAGCCACACAGGUGCCCCAAGGCUGUAAGGUUUAUUUGGAACAGCCAACAUUUUAUAAAUUGUGAAUUGCUGAGGAUCCCCAGCUCAUCUAAAUCAACUCCAUCUCAAUUUCAAAUUUCUAAUCAGGGCCUGGUCAUUUUCCAGGCCCUGAAGCCAGGUACCAUAGACUUGCCCAUCUUCCUCCAUCUUCAUCCCACACAACUGUUCUGAUCACCUAAUGAGUCUUUCUUUGAAAUAUUUCUUGUAGCUAUUUAUUCCUCUGAUGUCCCAGCUACAAUACCCAUCAUGAUUCAGACUACCUGUUGCCUUCAUUAUCACUGCAAUCUUCUCCAUUAGAGAGACAUGUAUUUUGAACAAAACUGCCUAGGUUUAAAUACGGGCUCUACUUCUGCAUGACUUCAGGCAAGUUUCUUAAUUUCUAUAUGCAUUUCUUUCUUCAUCUAUAAAAUGGAGAUAGCAAUAAUUUCUAAUUUAUUUAUUUGUUGUGAAGAAAUACGUGUAAAAGCACUUAGAACGGCAACUGGGCACAUAGUUAAUGAUCAAUAAAUCUUAGCAAUAUCAAUUAUAUUAUCAAUUUAUUUGCAUUUGCUUUGGGCCUCUUGGCUAGGCCAACAAUCUUGAGUUAUAUCAUGUCACUCCUUUGGUUAUAAGCUCCCCCAUAUGAGUUUUGUCCUGGGAGUGGCUGACCAGGUUGUUUGAGACAACAUAUCCAGCUGGGAACAAGUAGAAGUGCUGGACAUCUCAGAAAUAUCUAGUCAGAAUUUUUGAGAGCAAGAUCUGAAAAAGGAAUGCAGUAAAGGUGAAUGACAUUUGAAACUGAUUCCAAAAGUGAAAGCAGUAAAUGAAAAGCUGGAAAGUAUGAGCAGAGGUUUCAGCAACAUAAAAAGGUUUAGAUGGAUAAAAUUAGAGCUCUGAACCUCUGGAAAAAGAGAGCAUCAGUAAAAGUAACCUAUCAUAUAAGAAAACAAGUUUUGACAGAUAGCCAAGAUGGAAAAACAGAUAGAGAUCCACAGAAGAUCUGGAUCAUUUAAAUGAUAAGACAUACACUUUGAACUAUUAUUAAUAUGUUCAUGGGAUUAAAAAAUCAAGGCGAAUAAACAUGGCAAAAGCCCCCGUGAAAAUUAUGUGAAACAAUUACAUGGAUAUUCCAGACCUGAAUGAUAUCCAACAAAUUAAAGUAAAGGCUGAACAGAUAAGUUGAACAGCAGAUUAGACACAGCUAAAGACACAAUAAUGAAUUGGAAUAUAGUGAAGCAGAAAACACACAGACUAAACCACAGAGUUAAAAAAAAAUGAAUAUAGAAAAGAGCAUAAUAAACAUAAGGGACCCAGCAAAAAUAUUUAACUAUAUGUUAUUGGAAAUGGAAGAAAGAGGAAAUUGAGAAGAGGUAUUUGAAGAGAUAUGGCCAAGAAUGUUCCCAAAAUGAUAAAAAUCAUACAGGAUAUGCUUCAAAUUCCAAGCAUGACAAAUACAAAGUAAAGCAUAUUUAAUUACA